RNAcentral lists this ribosomal RNA (321 nucleotides) under Triticum aestivum (bread wheat). RNAcentral describes it as "partial small subunit ribosomal RNA". Lineage: Eukaryota; Viridiplantae; Streptophyta; Magnoliopsida; Poales; Poaceae. The record is from RNAcentral.
AUGCCUGUCGAAGUACAUGCUGGAACCAAUUGGUGGUUUGCUAGAGUACCACUCAUACAUUUUUGGAUUGUAGAGUUUCACUAUCCAAAUAGGUGCUUAGGAGGCCUAGAUAAACCUAUCCUAUAUCCUCGAGAUAGCAUUGAAUGGAUCGGGUACAUGCCCAGCGGUCCGCCAUUGGCUCGCAUUAGCCUACAUGAGAUAAGGAAUGCUGCACGGGGGAUCAAAUGUGCUACUACCAGUGGAUGCAAGAAGAUAGGCAAAUCUAUACUGAGGUCUUGUGUAGGAAAUUUGAUGGAUCUCAACUUGGAGCCUAGGUUGUGA